GAUGAACGCUGGCGGCGUGCCUAAUACAUGCAAGUCGAGCGAACAGACGAGGAGCUUGCUCCUCUGACGUUAGCGGCGGACGGGUGAGUAACACGUGGAUAACCUACCUAUAAGACUGGGAUAACUUCGGGAAACCGGAGCUAAUACCGGAUAAUAUAUUGAACCGCAUGGUUCAAUAGUGAAAGACGGUUUUGCUGUCACUUAUAGAUGGAUCCGCGCCGCAUUAGCUAGUUGGUAAGGUAACGGCUUACCAAGGCGACGAUGCGUAGCCGACCUGAGAGGGUGAUCGGCCAAACUGGAACUGAGAAACGGUCCAGACUCCUACGGGAGGCAGCAGUAGGGAAUCUUCCGGAAUGGGCGAAAGCCUGAAGGAGCAAAGCCGCGUGGGUGAUGAAGGUCUUCGGAUCGUAAAAAUCUGUUAUUAGGGAAGAACAAAUGUGUAAGUAACUAUGCACGUCUUGAAGGUACCUAAUCAGAAAGCCAAGGCUAACUACGUG
RNAcentral lists this ribosomal RNA (497 nucleotides) under uncultured bacterium. Its description in RNAcentral is "partial 16S ribosomal RNA". It matches the Rfam family "Bacterial small subunit ribosomal RNA", at positions 28 to 507 of the family's 1533-position model. The record is from RNAcentral.